This 396-nucleotide long non-coding RNA is filed under the name Carica papaya (papaya). RNAcentral's name for it is "long non-coding RNA (CPAP_LNC005814)". Lineage: Eukaryota; Viridiplantae; Streptophyta; Magnoliopsida; Brassicales; Caricaceae. The record is from RNAcentral.
UAAGGCACACGGUCAUGUCUUCUAGGAACAUGGUAGUGUCUCACUCCUCCUCAGAAACAGAAAUAUUUGCUUCUUAACACAUGGUCAUGCGUUAACCCGAUAUAAGGCAAACGACCAUGUCUUCCAAGAACAUGGCCAUGUCUCACUCCUACUCAGAAACAAAAACGUUGGCUCCUUAACACAUGGUCGUGUGUUAUGGCGAUAUCUCUCACAUCUUGUUCCAAUCCACUCUAAUUUACUUCCAAGUCCUAAAAAUCAUUCUUGAAAAGUGCCAAAGGCAAUCUAACAGUAUAUAUAACAAAAAUCAAUCAAAAUCAACUCAAAUAAAAUAGGAAAAUAUCUAUAAAAUUCAAUUAUAUCACUAUCAAAUAAAGGAAGAAUCAGAACGGGGGUGUU